UGCAUCAAAUUUUUAACCGUCACUAAUCACUAUACUGAGUCUAUAUGUCUCACUCUUUCUCAUUUACAGAUUUAUUUCCUAUUUCUUCCACCCUAUUAUUAUUCACGCUCGUUUGAUAUGAGAAGAGAAGAGAUGAGAAAGUAUCAUCACAGCGUAGCCUUCACCACACUGCAGUUCGCGUUCGCCGAUCGCCGUCGCCCUUCUCUUCCCCUCUUUUAGGAGUAUGAAGCCUAAUCUAUUCUGUUCUUUUCACAUUCUGCAGUGAAAUCGCGCGAUCAUUCUAAUUCAGAGCUCUCGCAACAGAGCAACCAAAAACUUUCGUGGAUUUCGAAUCAAUCACUCAGGCCAUGAAUGAGUAUGAGGAUUCCAACGAAGAUGCUGUAGUUCGCUGGUAUUGAGGAUGUGUUUACUUCAUCAAGAGGAUCCACUAAGAUACUUGGAAAUUUUGACAAGGUUUCAAAUUCUGUUCAGAUUAAUUUUUUUCUUCUAGAUUGUUUAAUUUUAUAAUCUCCCAUUGAUAUAUUUAUUCUGAGUAUUGAAAAAGCAAGAAUAACAUUAUGCUGAAUCUAUAUAUAUAGCUGAGGGGGCUCAUAACAAUAGUAAAGUUAUGUGUUACUCUUAACUUGGAUGAAAGUUGAAUGUGAUGAAUGAGUAUAAAUUUUUUAUGGCAAUUAUUUGUAA
Molecule: non-coding RNA, 681 nt
Organism: Arachis ipaensis
Lineage: Eukaryota; Viridiplantae; Streptophyta; Magnoliopsida; Fabales; Fabaceae
Source: RefSeq, a predicted model, not a curated record